Long non-coding RNA from Oxyura jamaicensis (ruddy duck), 218 nucleotides. RefSeq lists it as uncharacterized. The record is from RefSeq and is a predicted model, not a curated record. Lineage: Eukaryota; Metazoa; Chordata; Aves; Anseriformes; Anatidae. The transcript has 2 exons.
UCAACGGCGGCGGGGGGGGGGCGAAGGGGGGGGGGGGAACCGGGCGGCAGCGGCCGGAGGACGCCGGGCAGGCGGGAGGCGGCUCCGCGGCGCCCAGGCGGACAGACCCCAGGACGACGGCCGCUGCGUUCUCCCCCUGCCCCAGCGCCCGGCCGGGCUUUGGUUCUCAGCGUCCGCAAGGCGAGAAAAAGCAGAAAAAGGAGAACCCCCCCCCAAAA